CGGGGAAGGAAGGCAGCAAUAAGAGAACUGC
Molecule: non-coding RNA, 31 nt
Filed under: Homo sapiens (human)
Lineage: Eukaryota; Metazoa; Chordata; Mammalia; Primates; Hominidae
Source: RNAcentral